AUCCAGGUGGCUCAGUCGGUGGAGCGGGCGACUCUUGAUCUUCGGUUGUGGGUUCAAGCCCCACGUUGGGUG
Molecule: transfer RNA, 72 nt
Filed under: Mustela putorius furo (domestic ferret)
Lineage: Eukaryota; Metazoa; Chordata; Mammalia; Carnivora; Mustelidae
Rfam family: tRNA
About the family: Transfer RNA (tRNA) molecules are approximately 80 nucleotides in length. Their secondary structure includes four short double-helical elements and three loops (D, anti-codon, and T loops). Further hydrogen bonds mediate the characteristic L-shaped molecular structure. tRNAs have two regions of fundamental functional importance: the anti-codon, which is responsible for specific mRNA codon recognition, and the 3' end, to which the tRNAs corresponding amino acid is attached (by aminoacyl-tRNA synthetases). tRNAs cope with the degeneracy of the genetic code in two manners: having more than one tRNA (with a specific anti-codon) for a particular amino acid; and 'wobble' base-pairing, i.e. permitting non-standard base-pairing at the 3rd anti-codon position.
Source: Rfam by way of RNAcentral